GUAAAGCUGAUGGUGCUGUUCACAUCAGAAAUUGCAGCACUGAAGAACAGAGUUCAUGCAGACUUUUACAACAUGCAUCAGCUACAGCAUUUGUUUGUUGAUGGUACCAGCUGUCAAAAACCAAGCAAGUGGCAGUGCUAGAGGUGCCACAAAAGUGCGAAGGAAGUGUCAGGCUGGAUGUCAAAAUGAACACCUUGGAGAACUGGAUGAUGGAACAGACGGUAAAAAUCAGCUAAACAUCAGAGAAAAUGGAGGAAGAGGUCAAAACUGUGAACAGGAACUAGAAGAAAGUGUAGCAGAAAAAGACUUGUCACAAACUUCGAGAGAUUUGGAGAAAAUGAUGUCAAAACACAUCUUCCUCAAGCCCAUGCUGAGUAUCUCUGAUUUGGUUAAUUUCUUGACCCAGAGAUGCUGGGUGGCCUCUGGCCGCUGACCUCCUGAUUGCCAUCCCUCCCCCAUCACCACAACUCAAUAAUCAAACCAGCAACUGAGGAGUUACUCUACACUCUUCUUUACCUCCCAACCACCCCGUUCCAGCUGCUAAUCAUCAUGCUGAUUCUACCUGUAAAAUACAGCUCGAUUUGUUUGGUUUUCUCCAUCUCCACAGCUGGCACCCUCUCUACGUCUCUGCCAUCUGUCACCUAGACAACACAGCAUCUUCCAAAUGAGUGCCUCUAUUUCCAGGGUGAUCUUAAAACAGAAAUCAGAUUUUCACCCCUGCUGAAUAUCCUUCAGGGUCUCUUCUCUGCACCCAGCUGGAAUCCAAACACUGGUCCAGGAAGCCCCGCCUGCCUCUCCUGCCUCACCCAGAUGGCUCUACCCUUUGCCCACCUCACUUCAGCCACAGUGGCCUCACCUAAGUGCCUCCACAUUUGGUAUCUAUUCAUUCUCUAGCCAGUGCACCUCAGAAUGCCUGGAAUUCAGCUGGGCAUGGUGGCCCAUUCCUGUAAUUCCAGCACUUUGUGAGGCCAAGGUGGGUGGAUCACUUGA
This 990-nucleotide long non-coding RNA is filed under the name Homo sapiens (human). RNAcentral describes it as "HSALNT0303042". The record is from RNAcentral. Lineage: Eukaryota; Metazoa; Chordata; Mammalia; Primates; Hominidae.